GGCCUUGUGGCGGAGUGGUUUACGCGGAGGACUGCAAAUCCUCGAAGCUUUUGUUCGAACCCAAGGCAAGGCCUCCA
RNAcentral lists this transfer RNA (77 nucleotides) under Neomesorhizobium albiziae. RNAcentral's name for it is "Mesorhizobium albiziae tRNA-Cys". It matches the Rfam family "tRNA". From Rfam's summary of the family: Transfer RNA (tRNA) molecules are approximately 80 nucleotides in length. Their secondary structure includes four short double-helical elements and three loops (D, anti-codon, and T loops). The record is from RNAcentral. Lineage: Bacteria; Pseudomonadati; Pseudomonadota; Alphaproteobacteria; Hyphomicrobiales; Phyllobacteriaceae.